GACGAACGCUGGCGGCGUGCUUAACACAUGCAAGUCGAACGGAAAGGCCCUGCUUUUGUGGGGUGCUCGAGUGGCGAACGGGUGAGUAACACGUGAGUAACCUGCCCUUGACUUUGGGAUAACUUCAGGAAACUGGGGCUAAUACCGGAUAGGAGCUCCUGCUGCAUGGUGGGGGUUGGAAAGUUUCGGCGGUUGGGGAUGGACUCGCGGCUUAUCAGCUUGUUGGUGGGGUAGUGGCUUACCAAGGCUUUGACGGGUAGCCGGCCUGAGAGGGUGACCGGCCACAUUGCGCCUGAGAUACGGCCCAGACUCCUACGGUAGGCAGCAGUGGGGAAUAUUGCACAAUGGGCGGAAGCCUGAUGCAGCAACGCCGCGUGCGGGAUGACGGCCUUCGGGUUGUAAACCGCUUUCGCCUGUGACGAAGCGUGAGUGACGGUAAUGGGUAAAGAAGCACCGGCUAACUACGUG
RNAcentral lists this ribosomal RNA (468 nucleotides) under uncultured bacterium. Its description in RNAcentral is "partial 16S ribosomal RNA". It matches the Rfam family "Bacterial small subunit ribosomal RNA", at positions 28 to 507 of the family's 1533-position model. The record is from RNAcentral.